This is an RNA transcript of Magnolia sinica, 1003 nucleotides long. RefSeq lists it as uncharacterized. Lineage: Eukaryota; Viridiplantae; Streptophyta; Magnoliopsida; Magnoliales; Magnoliaceae. The record is from RefSeq and is a predicted model, not a curated record. The transcript has 6 exons.
GAAAGCUGGGGAAAGGCCCCAAAGCGAUCAAAGAUGGGGAAGAAGCUGAGAAGAGAAGAAGAAGAGGAAUUGCAAUUGACCGAAGACGAACGACGCGCGUUGCGUGGAAGCAAAUUCGCCCCUCUCCCAUCUCAGCCGUCCAUUUCUCGAUCACACCCAAGGCUGGCCCAUCCAGGUGGGCCACUCACCACCAACAAGGCGGCGGCGUUGGCGAAAUUCCUCGACAGGAAGCUCAAAGAGCCCGGUGGACUGUCUUCGAUAAAUCCAGAUCUUGUCGAACUCGCCGUGAAGAAUGCCAAAGACACUCUCAAAGCCGCUGGUGGGACGUCGAGUUCAGGAACAAUAGUUCGACAUGUUGACUCCUUUGGCGACUCCAUUGAGGAUUCUGAUGAAGAUAAAGAAGACGUUCACAACCAAGUGGAAGGAACUAAGCAGAAGAAACAUAAGAAGCAUAAGAAAAAGAAAAGGAAGAAGGCUGUGGAAAGCACAGAAACUACAAAUACGACAAAGCACAGAAAGAAGUCCAAAUCAUGACCUGACUAGAAGGAUAACCUGAGCCAGAACUAUAUCGGUCCAGUACUUGCAAGGAUGGACAGGAAUUAAUACUACCAGCAUGUCACAGGAAAGGAAGUAGAGAUCAUUUGAUUGGUCGGACGAUCUUCACCAUGCAAAAAUGCAGCUACCUCGUGUUCAAUACAGCUCUAUUCGCUAUUACCAUCAUCAUCUUUUUCCGUCUGCAGCGGCAGCAUUUCUCUUUGUACAUACAAUAUAGAUACAGAUAGAGAUUUAAGUAGACGCCAAAUCUAUAACUUAGCAUUUACAAGUGAUAACUAACUACUAAUAAAGCCCUUUUACAUCCACAAGCAUUUUUUUUAAAAUGGAACAUCCAUCUCUUUUUCCUCCAACUACUUUGUAUAAGCAGUGACUGGCUUUUUUAGCGAGGCCUCGAGAGACUUUGGAUCGGCAACAGGAGCACUGCAUGUGAAAUUCUGGCAGACAUGGG